CGACGGUUGGAUCUUUAUGAUCCAACAACUCCAAAUUCACCUCCAAUUUAAUUAUAUAACUAUCCUAAAAUGAGCCUCCCCUCCCCCAAAGACCUCUCAUCACUCUGUAUCUUUCACAUUCUUGUAUCUAACUCCAAAACCUUAGCCGCCCUAAUUUGCUCAACUGCCUCCGCCGUGGUUUGUCGACCAGAAAUCGCCUCACGGUAGCAGACCACCACCAAACACCACCAAAUCAACAUCCUGUAAUCCUCAUUCUCUCCUCGUUCUAAAUCUCCAAAUGGUUCCCCUCGAGUCCCCACCAAAAAAUUUGAAUCAUAUAACGAAAUUCAGAACCUCAAAACCCUAAGUCACCCAAAUACCACCAAAUUCACACCCUACAAUCCUCGCAUCCCUCUGAACCCUAAACUACCAUUAAUUCCCUUCGAAUCAUCCCCAAUUUCCUCGAAUCUUGAACUUGAAGCCCCAGGAAUCCUAAUUUUCUUUUACUUCCAGUUUUUGGCAGUUUUUGGGUCCUUUGAACCCAAGACUUCCAUGAAUCCAUUGCUCUUGAUAAAAACAGUCGAUUGAUGGUCGUCUAAAGUUUAUUUUUACCCCAAAAAUUUGGGACAGAAUCUGAAGAAGGUCCAGUUUUUAUUGUUGAAAGAAAUGAGCAAUAGGUAAUCUCUUGUACCUUUUUAUUUAGUUUUCUUUUGGCUUUGGUCGUUUUACCUUCAUGAUAAUUGUUUUUGAUUUACCCGUAUAAUUUAGAUUAUCUCUUCUUUUCUUCAAACUAUUUUUGGCUUCAUUAAUUGCAUGUUUAGAUUUCAUCAUUAGAAAUUUAAUUUGCCUAGUUUUAGCAUUUUUAGUUUCUGAUAAUCCUUUUAUUUUGUUUCUUUUUAUAUCAUGCUUGUUCUUCUUGCAAGUUUGUUUUAGUAUACAUUUGUUUAAUUAGGGUAGGAUUAAUGGUUAAUUAAUUACCUUAUUUAGCUAAUUCCUGAUUGACUUAGCUUUAGCCUGAUUCAGCCUUGUCUAAGUUAAAAUAGAUUAAUUCUUAUUUCUGAUGUUUCUUUGCACAAAACAUGUUGAAUCUCAUUAGUUGUUUGAAUAUCAGUUACAUGCAUUGAUUUCUUACACGUUUUGACUGCUUAUGGUUAAUUGAGUUUAAGUUUGUCAAUUAGGUUUCAAUCUUUAAAUAGAAAUGCCUACGUUAGUUUAAUUUUAGAAAAAGUAAAAUGCAAUACCCUAGGUUUGCAAAUUAAAGCAAACUAAUCUCUUGUUUGUUUCUAGAAGGUCUUAAAAUUGUUAUAAUUGAUUUGAAAUCAGAAUAUAGGAUAAAGCUAAAAUAGUCAGUAAUUAAAAGGGUAAAACUAGACUUUUACAUAGGCUAAUAACAGAAGGUUCUAUGUCUUUGGAUAGCUGCCCCAUUUUUAGCAAAGAAUGCUAAAAAUUGAGUGGAAAAGGAAAAAUAGUUGAAAAAGGCGUUUUACCAUUUUUAUUUUUAAAAUUUUAGGUUAGAAUAUUCCUUUUUAUGCCUUUUUGUGCACUCUAUAAAGGAAAAUAUUCCCUCACUCACACACACACAUUUAACAUCAUUCUCUGCACAAAAGGGUUUAUGAAAAACAUAAAGAGAUAUUAGUCUUUUCUUCUGAAAAUUCAUAUUGAUUCUGAAAAUACCAAGAUAGAUAAAAAAAAAAAACUCUAAAAAGAGUUUCUCUUAGCUGUGGAUUUUUCUGUAAACACUAGUUCCUUUUAGCUGGGGUUUGCUGGUUAAAGACUCGUUGGGUCUUUUUGCUGGUUUUUGAUUGGAAUUUCUAAGUAGUUGUUUUCUGAUUGCUGUUGAUUUAAGCUCCAAAUCAGCCUUGUUUACUGACUUUUAUUUGGUCCUCUUUUUGUUGUUGUUUUUGGAACAUUAUUAGAUAUGUAAUCACACCCCUUUUAUGGAAUGAAUCUUCUUAUUUAAAUCUAAAGUUCAAUUACUCAUGUCUGCUUUUUUAUAAUUCCAUGUGAUAUGCUAAGUUUAGUCAUUUAUUGGUUGCUGAUUCUUGUUGCUGUUGUUUAGGCAUUUAACCUCAGCUCUUUUCUCUAUGUAAUAUCAUGAAUGACUAGUUAAAAAUGAUACAAAAUCAGAUGUGUUAUAGAAUUUGUAGAAGUGAAUCUCAUUUCAUGCUAAGUAGAUAGUUUACAUUGAUGUGAAUGUGAUUAGCUUUGACUAUGUGAGUUUAAAGUUUGAGCAUGAAUAACCUAGCCAAUUCCUUGUAGUUUCAGUUUGCAAAAAUAGCUUUGUUCAUGUCCCUAGCCAACUCUUCUAGUUAUUAACGUUGAUUAUGGAAUUUUAGACAUUUUUUCUUCUUUACUUUAUCUGAGUAGAUAGCCUUUCCCCUGCUUAAAGCCAUUUGUCUUCUUUCUUUGUCUAUUUGGCUAUGAGCUAUUGCCUACAGAUUUGGCCACUAGUUGGUCAAAUCAGUAGUUUCAAGAGCUGAAAAGUGGAAUCAUGGUGUUUUUGAUAAGAGGCGGCCAAGCUCUAAUGGACAAAUCAUGUCCAAAAGAGGCAGGAAUUCUUUAUGAUGUCAGUUGUGAAGAUUUGUAAUAAUUUAGAUUUUAGUAUGGUUAGUUUAUGUACUAAGUCUUCAUGUAAGGUAUUGCUUUUGAAAAGUUGUUUAGUUUAUUUGGAGACUGUAAUAAAUCAGAUUUUUAAUGUCAUGUACUAAGACAUAAUAGGAGUUUAAUUAUGUGUUUGAUACAUUUUACAAAGUAGUAGUGGUGUUAACGAGAGGACUAUAAGCCCACUCAGUAGAACCAAAAGGCUGCUCAUUCGAUUAAAAAAGGGCUGAAUUAGUAGCCCAAGUGAAAGACUAACCUGAAAUGAUUUGGGCCUAGCCUAUAGGCCCAAACUUUGAGUCAUUCUAGGAGCCCUUUUAUCAUGGAUCAUUUUUAUGUUCAGUUGAUUAAUUUUUAGUACAGGAUCGUGUUCAAUCUUCAUAUUUUAUUUUUGUUUAAACAUGUAAUUUAAAAGCUCAUUUGUCAUAAGUGUGUAUGUAUAAUUUAUAAGUAGAGGUGAUAGGCUCAGACAUUAAACAAUUAUAAUUGGGCCCGUCUAUGGCUCAAUGU
Molecule: long non-coding RNA, 3087 nt
Filed under: Nicotiana benthamiana
Lineage: Eukaryota; Viridiplantae; Streptophyta; Magnoliopsida; Solanales; Solanaceae
Description: long non-coding RNA (NBEN_LNC040461)
Source: RNAcentral